CCUGGGGUAGCUCAGCCUGGUAGAGCACACGGUUGAUAACCGUGAGGUCGUAGGUUCAAUCCCUACUCCCAGGA
RNAcentral lists this transfer RNA (74 nucleotides) under Candidatus Asgardarchaeum californiense. RNAcentral's name for it is "tRNA-Ile". It matches the Rfam family "tRNA". From Rfam's summary of the family: Transfer RNA (tRNA) molecules are approximately 80 nucleotides in length. Their secondary structure includes four short double-helical elements and three loops (D, anti-codon, and T loops). The record is from RNAcentral. Lineage: Archaea; Promethearchaeati; Candidatus Asgardarchaeia (ex Tamarit et al. 2024); Candidatus Asgardarchaeales (ex Tamarit et al. 2024); Candidatus Asgardarchaeaceae.